RNAcentral lists this ribosomal RNA (502 nucleotides) under uncultured bacterium. RNAcentral's name for it is "partial 16S ribosomal RNA". It matches the Rfam family "Bacterial small subunit ribosomal RNA", at positions 29 to 523 of the family's 1533-position model. The record is from RNAcentral.
AGUGAACGCUAGCGGCAGGCUUAAUACAUGCAAGUCGUGGGGCAGCAUGAAGUAGCAAUACUUUGAUGGCGACCGGCAAACGGGUGCGGAACACGUACACAACCUUCCUUUUAGUGGGGAAUAGCCCAGAGAAAUUUGGAUUAAUACCCCGUAACAUAGCGAUGUGGCAUCACAUUGCUAUUAUAGCUUCGGCGCUAGAUGAUGGGUGUGCGUAUGAUUAGAUAGUUGGCGAGGUAACGGCUCACCAAGUCUACGAUCAUUAGCUGAUGUGAGAGCAUGAUCAGCCACAUGGGCACUGAGACACGGGCCCGACUCCUACGGGAGGCAGCAGUAAGGAAUAUUGGUCAAUGGACGAAAGUCUGAACCAGCCAUGCCGCGUGAAGGAUUAAGGUCCUCUGGAUUGUAAACUUCUUUUAUAUGGGACGAAAAAAGGUCUUUCUAGAUCACUUGACGGUACCAUAUGAAUAAGCACCGGCUAACUCCGUGCCAGCCGCCGCAGUAA